This 25-nucleotide non-coding RNA is filed under the name Rattus norvegicus (Norway rat). The record is from RNAcentral. Lineage: Eukaryota; Metazoa; Chordata; Mammalia; Rodentia; Muridae.
UACUUCUCCUUUGGCCAGUGGUGCA